This 460-nucleotide ribosomal RNA is filed under the name uncultured bacterium. Its description in RNAcentral is "partial 16S ribosomal RNA". It matches the Rfam family "Bacterial small subunit ribosomal RNA", at positions 338 to 795 of the family's 1533-position model. The record is from RNAcentral.
CCUACGGGUGGCAGCAGUGAGGAAUAUUGGUCAAUGGACGAGAGUCUGAACCAGCCAAGUAGCGUGAAGGAUGACUGCCCUAUGGGUUGUAAACUUCUUUUAUAUGGGAAUAAAAUGUUCCACGUGUGGGAUUUUGUAUGUCCCAUAUGAAUAAGGAUCUACUAACUCCGUGCCAGCAGCGGCGGUAAUAAGGAGGAUCCGAGCGUUAUCCGGAUUUAUUGGGUUGAAAGGGCUCGUAGGUGGAUUGUUAAGUCAGUUGUGAAAGUGUGCGGCUCAACCGUAAAAUUGCAGUUGAAACUGGCAGUCGUGAGUACAGUAGAGGUGGGCGGAAUUCGUGGUGUAGCGGUGAAAUGCUUAGAUAUCACGAAGAACUCCGAUUGCGAAGGCAGCUCACUGGACUGCAACUGACACUGAGGCUCGAAAGUGUGGGUAUCAAACAGGAUUAGAUACCCGAGUAGUC